CCCGUGUAGUCCUGCACGAACCAGCGGAAGCUCAGGCUCUGCACCAGCAGCGACGGCACCAGCACGAAGAACAGGGUCAGCCCGAAGCAGCCGUAGUCCCCCUUGCGGUAGUAGUCGAGGGCCAGCCACAGGCUUUAACUUACUUGCAAAUUCUUCAAGUGUUCGCCAUCAGAUACUCUCAGAAGUGGGCAGUGGGGCACACGGAGCCACAACAAGGAGCCACAUGUUGACCAGGAGCUUGCAAGAACAAGAAUCCAGAAAUACCGUUCUGAUCUUGGGUCCUUUCUCAGCAGACGUUUUGCUUCAGAGGCAACUGGGAGCCCCAGAAGAAAAACACCGCAGGCAACAGCCAGCCUCCCACCCCCACGGUUUCUCCAGCCCUGCCUAACGAGUCACAGUAAUGUUUGCGAUUAGCGAGGCAGCCUCUUGGCGGAGAGCGCAGAGCGCGCGCACGGUGUGUUCCCUCAUUAAUGCAAGCCGACUCCUGUGGAGGAGAGUCACGAACCAGCCUACAGAACAUCACCAAAAUGAACACUCCCAUGAAGCGUGCUAGUGAGAAGCAGCAGACUGUAAGGACAAGAAGAAUAUAGAGGCUGCAAGGCGAGGCUUCCUGGUGUCCAGUCUGAGUCACCCUGCGAUGAGCUGUCUGUGAGCCGGUCAAGUGCCUUAAUCUCUGUUUGCCUUGCAUGUUUCUCCUGUGAAAUGGGAGUGAUGAUAAGAGUGCCCCAAACAGGUGCAAACAAGAUCUCUCAAUGAACCCCAAGCUCAUCAUUUUGGCUAGAUUAACCAUCUACCAACCCCCAGGAUUUUUCCGCUCUUUCUACCCAAGAGAACAUGAUGGAAACAGAGAGGAAGCACAUGGACACCCCACAGUUGGGUCAGUGGGACUGCCCAUUGUAUCUUUCUCCCCAUACCUCACCCCAGCCAGUUUCUGGAUAACUUUUAAAAGCCCUGAGAUGAGAUGUUUAUGGAAUCGCAUCAUUGGAAACCUGUUUCUGCAAUAUAAGACGCUGGCUUCCUUCUCUUACUCUCCCAUCUGUGAACCUUCAAGAAAACUUUCUAAGCACACCCUCCUGUUGCUCAUGAGU
Molecule: long non-coding RNA, 1088 nt
Organism: Microtus oregoni (creeping vole)
Lineage: Eukaryota; Metazoa; Chordata; Mammalia; Rodentia; Cricetidae
Exons: 4
Source: RefSeq, a predicted model, not a curated record